GGCGCACGGUGAAUGCCUUGGCACUAGGAGCCGAUGAA
This 38-nucleotide ribosomal RNA is filed under the name Priestia flexa. RNAcentral describes it as "Bacillus flexus partial 23S ribosomal RNA". Lineage: Bacteria; Bacillati; Bacillota; Bacilli; Caryophanales; Bacillaceae. The record is from RNAcentral.